This 253-nucleotide ribosomal RNA is filed under the name uncultured bacterium. RNAcentral describes it as "partial 16S ribosomal RNA". It matches the Rfam family "Bacterial small subunit ribosomal RNA", at positions 524 to 775 of the family's 1533-position model. The record is from RNAcentral.
UACGGAGGGUGCGAGCGUUGUCCGGAAUCACUGGGCGUAAAGGGCGCGUAGGCGGCUUGUCAAGGCUCGUGUGAAAGCCCGGGGCUCAACCCCGGGUCGGCAGGGGCGACUGGCAGGCUAGAGCACAGUAGAGGCAGGCGGAAUUCCGGGUGUAGCGGUGGAAUGCGUAGAGAUCCGGAAGAACACCGGUGGCGAAGGCGGCCUGCUGGGCUGGAAGCUGACGCUGAGGCGCGACAGCGUGGGGAGCAAACAG